This 913-nucleotide ribosomal RNA is filed under the name Halomonhystera disjuncta. RNAcentral's name for it is "bacterial SSU rRNA". It matches the Rfam family "Eukaryotic small subunit ribosomal RNA", at positions 81 to 1000 of the family's 1831-position model. The record is from RNAcentral. Lineage: Eukaryota; Metazoa; Nematoda; Chromadorea; Monhysterida; Monhysteridae.
GUGAANCCGCGAAUAGCUCAUUACAAUAGCCGUUGUCUCUUGGAUCUUACAAUCUAAUAGGAUAACUGUGGUAAUUCUAGAGCUAAUACUUGCUAUUAAGGCUGACCUUACGGGACGCUUGCAUUUAUUAGUUCAAGAUCAAUCGACUUCGGUCGUUUCUUGAUGACUCUGAAUAACUCAGCAGAUCGCACGGUCUAGUACCGGCGACAUUUCCUUCGAGUGUCUACCUUAUCAACUUUCGAUGGUAGUUUAUGUGACUACCAUGGUGGUAACGGGUAACGGAGAAUCAGGGUUUGACUCCGGAGAGGGAGCCUGAGAAACGGCUACCACUUCUAAGGAAGGCAGCAGGCGCGCAAAUUACACCAUCUCAGUUCGAGGAUGUAGUGACGAAACAUAUCGAGACGAUGCCCUUUCGGGUGUCGUCAUUGACAUGAGUUGAAUGUAAAAAAUUCUUCGAUGAACUAGUGGAGGGCAAGUCUGGUGCCAGCAGCCGCGGUAAUUCCAGCUCCGCAAGUGUAUGUCUAUGCUGCUGCGGUUAAAAAGCUCGUAGUCUGAUUCGCGUACUUAGCACUGAGUGUGACCUUUCGGUCACUACUCUGUUGCGGUACAUUAUCGGCAGUUUGUCGUUGAUGCUCUUCAUUGGGUGUCAGCGGCUGCUGUCAAGUUUACUUUGAACAAAUUAGAGUGCUCAACACAGGCGUUUCGCUUGUAUAGUCUUGCAUAGAAUAAUAGAAUAAGAUUUUUGUCUUAUUUCUGUUGGUCUCAAAGACAAAAAUAAUGAUUAAGAGGGACAGACGGGGACAUUUGUACUGCGACGUUAGAGGUGAAAUUCUUGGAUCGUCGCAAGACAANCUACUGCGAAAGCAUUUGUCAAGAAUGUUUUCAUUGAUCAAGAACGAAAGUUAUGGGUUCG